Long non-coding RNA from Musa acuminata AAA Group (dessert banana), 852 nucleotides. RefSeq lists it as uncharacterized. Lineage: Eukaryota; Viridiplantae; Streptophyta; Magnoliopsida; Zingiberales; Musaceae. The record is from RefSeq and is a predicted model, not a curated record. The transcript is spliced from 2 exons.
GUCGUCGGACAUUCUUAACUCACAUCUGGCGGAGCGAUUGGGGAGGCGUCAGCGUGGGCGGUGGUGCGUCUGCCAUGGAUCUGAGAAGGCCGAUAGACGGACAGGGAUUCUGCCUCAUCAUGUGGGCCGUCACCGCCGUGGUCUUCGAGCCGAUCAGGCAUGGCCCGAGGCCCGGCGCCGGCCCUGCCUCCGUCAGCUCGUCCCUCCUCGCCUUCCUCGUCUUCCUCACCGGCGUGUGGCUUGUCAUCCUGGGCUUGGUUCGGUCCGACUUCCGCCGAGGCCACCCACAGGAAGUUGCCGCCACCCCCGGGGGUAUCAUUCCGGGCGCUGAGGACAACGGGAAUCGAUGCGCGAAGGAUUCCCCCGACCCCGGGUCGCCUCUUCGGUGAUCGAGGUGGGUAGUAAAACCCGUCGGCCGGCUUGUGCUUUCCAGAGUUGGGAAGAAGUUGUGGCCUGGUGCACUUGCAACCAGUGACCGAACCUAUCGCGACGGUCAAUGGUCAAAGUCAACGGUCACGACCCAUGGCAGCGCUAUUUGGAACCUCCAAAAGAUAAGGCUACGAGAUCGUACUGUAUGCCGAUCUCAAUCGCUCUACUAUUCCCUCGUCAAGGUGAUUUUGGGCCACGAUUUUGGACCACAAAUACAAGGAGUCACAUGAAGAAAUCAAAUCAAAUUGGAUUGAGCACUAUAAUCAAAGAAAAUUGACCCGAUGGGUCGCACGUGUGAAUCUGAUUUUAGCCAAAAGCCAAAAUCACAAUGGUUGUCUCACCGCUUGCAUUCAUAGUCCAAUCGUGGAGUUCUAUGUCAUUGCCUAGUUGAAUCGUUAGAGAUUCGAGAAGAUUGUGAUCUCA